This 482-nucleotide ribosomal RNA is filed under the name uncultured bacterium. Its description in RNAcentral is "partial 16S ribosomal RNA". It matches the Rfam family "Bacterial small subunit ribosomal RNA", at positions 28 to 507 of the family's 1533-position model. The record is from RNAcentral.
GACGAACGCUGGCGGCGUGCUUAACACAUGCAAGUCGAACGAUGAAGAAGAGAAACGCGAACUUCGGUUCAAAUUUCACUUCGGAUUAGUGGCUGACGGGUGAGUAACGCGUGAGCAACCUACCUCUUACAAAGGGAUAGCCUCGGGAAACCGUGAUUAAUACCAUAUGACACAUUCAUAAGGCAUCUUAAGAAUGUUAAAGCUACGGCGGUAAGAGAUGGGCUCGCGUCCCAUUAGCUAGUUGGUGAGGUAACGGCCCACCAAGGCGACGAUGGGUAACCGGCCUGAGAGGGUGAACGGUCACAUUGGAACUGAGACACGGUCCAAACUCCUACGGGAGGCAGCAGUGGGGAAUAUUGCACAAUGGAGGGAACUCUGAUGCAGCGACGCCGCGUGAGCGAUGAAGGAAUUCGUUUCGUAAAGCUCUGUUCUAUGGGAAGAAAAGGACUGUACCAUAGGAGAAAGCCCCGGCUAAAUACGUG